GAUGAAGAACGUAGCGAAAUGCGAUAAGUAAUGCGAAUUGCAGAAUUCAGUGAGUCAUCGAAUCUUUGAACGCACAUUGCGCCCGCCAGUAUUCUGGCGGGCAUGCCUGUCCGAGCGUCAUUUCAACCCUCGAACCCCUCCGGGGGGUCGGCGUUGGGGAUCGGCCCUUUCACCGGGUGCCGGCCCCUAAAUACAGUGGCGGUCUCGCCGCAGCCUCUCAUGCGCAGUAGUUUGCACACUCGCACCGGGAGCGCGGCGCGUCCACGUCCGUAAAACACCCCAACUUCUGAAAUGUUGACCUCGGAUCAGGUAGGAAUACCCGCUGAACUUAAGCAUAUCAAUAAGCGGAGGA
RNAcentral lists this unclassified non-coding RNA (352 nucleotides) under soil metagenome. RNAcentral's name for it is "partial contains 5.8S ribosomal RNA, internal transcribed spacer 2, and large subunit ribosomal RNA". The stretch from base 1 to 120 matches the Rfam family "5.8S ribosomal RNA", at positions 35 to 154 of the family's 154-position model. The record is from RNAcentral.